This 615-nucleotide ribosomal RNA is filed under the name uncultured organism. Its description in RNAcentral is "bacterial SSU rRNA". It matches the Rfam family "Bacterial small subunit ribosomal RNA", at positions 772 to 1376 of the family's 1533-position model. The record is from RNAcentral.
ACGGGAUUAGAUACCCCCGGUAGUCCUUGCCCAUAAACCGAUGUCCACCUAGAUCCGGUGAACUUCUUACCAGUGCGCCGGUUCGAAACAAAAGCGUUAAGUGGACCGCCUGGGGAGUACGUUCGCAAGCCUAAAACUCAAAGGAAUUGACGGGGGCUCACACAAGCGCUGGAGCAUGUUGCUUAAUUCGAUGCAACGCGAAGAACCUUAUCCUGGACUUGACAUGUUAGGAUGCCUCCAUGGAAACAGGGUUGUUUGCCCUUCGGGGUGAAACUUUCACAGGUGCUGCAUGGCUGUCGUCAGCUCGUGUCGUGAGAUGUUGGCUUAAGUCCCGUAACGAGCGAAACCCUUGUCGUUAGUUGCCAGCGCGUAAUGGCGGGACUCUAGCGAGACUGCCGCUGUAAACCGGAGAAGGUGGGAUGACGUCAAGUCCUCAUGCCCUUUAUUCCAGGGCUGCAAACGUGCUACAAUGGCGUGUACAAACCGACGCAAGACCGCGAGGUGGAGCAAAUCGGAAAAAGCACGCCCCAGUUCGGAUUGGAGUCUCAACUCGACUCCAUGAAGUCGGAAUCGCUAGCAAUCGCGUAUCAGCUCGACGCGGUGAAUGUGUUCCUG